This 377-nucleotide ribosomal RNA is filed under the name Paenibacillus chondroitinus. RNAcentral describes it as "bacterial SSU rRNA". It matches the Rfam family "Bacterial small subunit ribosomal RNA", at positions 454 to 831 of the family's 1533-position model. Lineage: Bacteria; Bacillati; Bacillota; Bacilli; Caryophanales; Paenibacillaceae. The record is from RNAcentral.
GUAACUGCCUGUUGUGUGACGGUAUAGGAGAAGAAAGCCCCGGCUAACUACGUGCCAGCAGCCGCGGUAAUACGUAGGGGGCAAGCGUUGUCCGGAAUUAUUGGGCGUAAAGCGCGCGCAGGCGGUUAAUUAAGUUGGGUGUUUAAGCCCGGGGCUCAACCCCGGUUCGCAUCCAAAACUGGUUGACUUGAGUGUAGGAGAGGAAAGUGGAAUUCCACGUGUAGCGGUGAAAUGCGUAGAGAUGUGGAGGAACACCAGUGGCGAAGGCGACUUUCUGGCCUAUAACUGACGCUGAGGCGCGAAAGCGUGGGGAGCAAACAGGAUUAGAUACCCUGGUAGUCCACGCCGUAAACGAUGCAUACUAGGUGUUGGGGGAU